AAGAAAUAUCUGUAUAUUAACAGUUGUAUGACUGUAUAUUUUAACAGAAAUUGUCCUUAGUACGUGAUUCACAGGUGUGUUUCUGUUAAUUUACACUUCGAAUUGCAUUAUGGGAACUUCAUCUCUGCCAAAUCAGUUUCUGGCGGCCAUAUUCCAUCCAUGUACAAAGCGGGAUAGAGCGGUAUGAAUUUGACCUGCAUUUCAGCGGUAAGUAGUUUUAUGGAAAAUAUUAACAAGUGACUGUUAUUUUAGCAGUAUUAGUUUUUAAGUGUUAUAUUGUCUGUUUUGGUAGCAUUCAAUUGUUAAUUUUUGAUCGUUAAUGCUAAUAACGUUAGCUAAUAUUGACGUUAGCUAACGUGAGCUGGUGUUCACAACGGCAUUACCGUGUGCUAUCAGCACUUUGGGAUUUGGAGAUUAAAAAAACAGAUUUUUUACCAACUGAGCAGCUUUGUAUGAGGUAUUUUUUGUAACGUUAGGUCAAAUAAGAACCCAUUAUGCCCCACUUCAACAUUAUUUGUGGGUCCUUAUCUAUGAAUUAUUUACAGUACAUUGUCCGUAUUUUUAAUCUGAGC
Long non-coding RNA from Sander lucioperca (pikeperch), 572 nucleotides. RefSeq lists it as uncharacterized. NCBI's taxonomy places the organism in Eukaryota, Metazoa, Chordata, Actinopteri, Perciformes, Percidae. The transcript is spliced from 4 exons. The record is from RefSeq and is a predicted model, not a curated record.